UCUGUUAGUCUUGGAGGCCAAGGCUGAGUGGGUUUAUCUCUGUGCCCCUCCAGUGACUUCAAAGAAUGCCAAAAGUCUCUCGAGUGUGCCUGUGUGCACACACAGACACACACAAAGUCAUUCAACAUUUAUUCAACCAAAAAUACUAAGUCAGCUCUAUACAAACUAAUGGAAGGAUACAGCUAUGCAAAUACAGAAGAACACUAAACUGUUACAUGACAGAUGUAUGAGGAAGAAUGUGGAUGGGCUUACACUUUCCUGGGGAUACCUAUUGGUCGUCUGUCAACAGAUAAUUAUUGAGAAUCUUCUCUGUACCUAGCUCUGCUCUAGAUACUAGAGACACAGCUAUGACAAGACAAAAUUGAUGUGUAUGACGAUCUUGUAUAUUACUGAUUGUAAACUGACAACACACAUGUGAAAAAAUAUAUAAAGAGAAAAACUUCAAGUACUUAAUAAUGCCAUAAAAAGACAGACUGAAGAGAUAUGAUUGAAAGUCACCUAGUCAAGACAAUGCAUGAGACUCUGAAAUAUGCUGGUCUUUGGGGAUGUAUUGCUUGAGAGCUGAUAAAUCAGAAGGUCUUCCAGGAGAAGAUUUUGUGGCUUGUCCUUUCACUUUUUAUGCCCUGUUUUGAUUAACAUAAGUUCUUAAUUUCAACCCAGUCACAUACACCAAUAUUUUUAUUUAAUGCAGCUUAAAGAUUUUAUAAUAUCAGAUAUUAUUUCACAAUAGCAAUUAUAUGUAUUGUUUAAAAAAUCCUUCUCUUGUAUAUCUUCUAAAAGCUUUAGAGUUCUGCCUUUGACACUUAAAUCUUGAAUACACCAGAAGUUGAAUUUUCUGCAUGAUUUGAAUAUCUUUAUAAAGACUCGGUUGUCCCAACACCAUUUACUUCAAAGCUUUUUCAUUCCCCAGUG
RNAcentral lists this long non-coding RNA (912 nucleotides) under Pan troglodytes (chimpanzee). RNAcentral describes it as "long non-coding RNA NONPTRT016414". The record is from RNAcentral. Lineage: Eukaryota; Metazoa; Chordata; Mammalia; Primates; Hominidae.